This 115-nucleotide ribosomal RNA is filed under the name uncultured bacterium. RNAcentral's name for it is "partial 16S ribosomal RNA". It matches the Rfam family "Bacterial small subunit ribosomal RNA", at positions 339 to 450 of the family's 1533-position model. The record is from RNAcentral.
CUACGGGAGGCAGCAGGAGGGAAUUUUCCGCAAUGGGCGAAAGCCUGACGGAGCAAUACCGCGCUGAGGGAUGACGGCCUGUGGGUGUGUAAACUCUUCUUCUCAACGGAAGAAG